GAAGAAGAUGGAGUAAACUCAUAAUUGCAUGCCUCUUUUAAGGGCGUGUUUGGUAGUAGGUAAGAGUUAAUUGUUAUUUUAAUCGAACUUCAUUAAUUAAUAGCAGUUCAUGUAGUGGCCUAACAUGUUUCUAGAUUAAUGAGUAAAUUUUUUUUUGAAACCCUAGAUUAAUGACUAAUGAUUUUAAAAGAAGGCCGAUAAGAUUUGAAGUGAAGUUGUGAAAUUUUUAUGAAGAAUUGAUAAGCCUCUUGCUUUCCCAUCGAACUAACCCCAUAAGUUCAUAGCUGCUUGAAA
Molecule: long non-coding RNA, 294 nt
Filed under: Salvia miltiorrhiza (redroot sage)
Lineage: Eukaryota; Viridiplantae; Streptophyta; Magnoliopsida; Lamiales; Lamiaceae
Description: long non-coding RNA (SMIL_LNC001423)
Source: RNAcentral